This 761-nucleotide ribosomal RNA is filed under the name Prevotella melaninogenica. RNAcentral's name for it is "bacterial SSU rRNA". It matches the Rfam family "Bacterial small subunit ribosomal RNA", at positions 28 to 776 of the family's 1533-position model. Lineage: Bacteria; Pseudomonadati; Bacteroidota; Bacteroidia; Bacteroidales; Prevotellaceae. The record is from RNAcentral.
GAUGAACGCUAGCUACAGGCUUAACACAUGCAAGUCGAGGGGAAACGGCAUUAAGUGCUUGCACUUUUUGGACGUCGACCGGCGCACGGGUGAGUAACGCGUAUCCAACCUUCCCAUGACUAAGGGAUAACCUGCCGAAAGGCAGACUAAUACCUUAUGGUCUUCACUGACGGCAUCAGAUGUGAAGUAAAGAUUUAUCGGUUAUGGAUGGGGAUGCGUCUGAUUAGCUUGUUGGCGGGGUAACGGCCCACCAAGGCAACGAUCAGUAGGGGUUCUGAGAGGAAGGUCCCCCACAUUGGAACUGAGACACGGUCCAAACUCCUACGGGAGGCAGCAGUGAGGAAUAUUGGUCAAUGGGCGAGAGCCUGAACCAGCCAAGUAGCGUGCAGGAUGACGGCCCUAUGGGUUGUAAACUGCUUUUGUAUGGGGAUAAAGUCAAUCACGUGUGAUUGUUUGCAGGUACCAUACGAAUAAGGACCGGCUAAUUCCGUGCCAGCAGCCGCGGUAAUACGGAAGGUUCGGGCGUUAUCCGGAUUUAUUGGGUUUAAAGGGAGCGUAGGCCGGAGAUUAAGUGUGUUGUGAAAUGUAGACGCUCAACGUCUGACUUGCAGCGCAUACUGGUUUCCUUGAGUACGCACAACGUUGGCGGAAUUCGUCGUGUAGCGGUGAAAUGCUUAGAUAUGACGAAGAACUCCGAUUGCGAAGGCAGCUGACGGGAGCGCCACUGACGCUUAAGCUCGAAGGUGCGGGUAUCGAACAGG